UACGGAGGAUGCGAGCGUUAUCCGGAUUUAUUGGGUUUAAAGGGUGCGUAGGCGGAGUGUCAAGUCAGCGGUAAAAUUUCGGGGCUCAACCCCGUCGUGCCGUUGAAACUGACACCCUUGAGUGAGUGAGAAGUAAGCGGAAUGCGUGGUGUAGCGGUGAAAUGCAUAGAUAUCACGCAGAACGCCGAUUGCGAAGGCAGCUUACCAGACUGAGUCUGACGCUGAUGCACGAGAGCAUGGGUAGCGAACAGG
This 252-nucleotide ribosomal RNA is filed under the name uncultured Bacteroidales bacterium. RNAcentral describes it as "partial 16S ribosomal RNA". It matches the Rfam family "Bacterial small subunit ribosomal RNA", at positions 524 to 776 of the family's 1533-position model. The record is from RNAcentral. Lineage: Bacteria; Pseudomonadati; Bacteroidota; Bacteroidia; Bacteroidales.